AAUUUCACACCGGUAUAAUGGGAGCAUCCUGGGCGAGCAUGUCGUCGAGACAUGUUAAGGGAGGGAAAGGCUUCGAAAUCGUUGGUCAGACGGUGGCUCUUACCCAACACUGGAAAUAAGUAAAACUUUUAAGCUUGUGGAACGUGCCCUUGUCACAUGUACAACUCGUGUACUUAUUCGUCUAGGAGCUGCAUGCCAAUAGCACCCUUAGCCAACAGACAGCUGGCUUUAAGGGAACCGCCUUGGUUCGCCUCCCUUACAAUGCCAUCAAGUAUCACGCGCCGAUAGUAGACCUGUCACGCUCAUAGAGGAAUGCUCGCCGUUGACAGGACGCGGGGACCACAACAAGGCGCGGAUUACACGUCGCUACGCUGGCCACCGCUCUUUUACCAAGUUUCCAAGUUUUUAAAUCCAACGUUGUGUGGGCACCAACUCUGUACCCUCUUCUUUCAAGGUCAAGGAGGUUUAAGGCGUUUGGCUUUCUGUUUGGUGGCACGGUUGGCAAAGCAGCCGCCUCGCUUAGCAAGUCUUGGCUAGCAACCCAGUGCAACGCUAGUCACCCACUUCAGGCCCCCUUAGCCAACUACCAAAACGAGCAAGGCGGGGCAACAAAACGGCGCAGUUCCAACCUAUGACUAGUCGCUCGGAAAGGAGUGGUUGGGCCGGCAUGUGGGUUGAUGGAUAACAGUGCGGGCAAUGCCCCACCAGCUGUUGAAGGUCCCUGUGGUGGUUCACGAGUUCAUGUACCCGCGCGGGCGUCGGGUUUCGGCACCUUCCUGGCCGGCUUGCGCUCACGCUCUUGGGUAAUUUGGCUUCAGCUGACGUCAGGUUUGUCCGGAGGUGCUUUGUUUGUUUGGGUUUAGGGCUUGUUUGCGUGGUGUCGUUUCCAUGGCCAGGCACCCAGGAAUUACACGUUAAUGCACGUUUGCCGUGAAAAUAAGGUUGUAUUGAUGGCCUCAAUUGUUUAAACAUAUGGGAGUUUGGUCUAGUGGCAUGAUUCUCGCUUCGGGUGCGAGAGGUCGUGGGUUCGAUUCCCGCAACUCCCCCAUGCAUCUUUUUUCAUGCCCCACCGCUAAUCUGCGGUCACUUCCGAGCCUCGAGUAUUAGCCUUCCGUGCCUUUCUUGGACCAUUCAUAGUGAUAUGAAAAGAACGACGGCGUCUUCUUGCGCCGCGCUGAUGCCAUCGCAAUCACAACGACAUUACUUCCCAUUCAUCCUGGCGUUUUCGUUUCUAAGCACGUCAUAGGUCAAGCAGCUGAAGCGCUUCUCAUAUUCCCCGCACACCCUACCUAGUUAAUGGUGUUUCACACGACUCAACGGCGGGCUGCCGUUUUCAUCUGUGUCGAGUGGAAGCCAAGCUGGCUGCCCGACAGGACGUGCGCGAAAAAAUAAGGCUGGGCGCUCCGGCCCCUGAUGUGAGCAUGUGUAUCCAUGGAGGCUGUGGAGUAGCAUCCCCUGGAGAGUUGGCUCUUGAGCAGGGCAGGGCAGCAUUUAC
RNAcentral lists this long non-coding RNA (1495 nucleotides) under Volvox carteri. RNAcentral's name for it is "long non-coding RNA (VCAR_LNC002974)". The stretch from base 975 to 1046 matches the Rfam family "tRNA". The record is from RNAcentral. Lineage: Eukaryota; Viridiplantae; Chlorophyta; Chlorophyceae; Chlamydomonadales; Volvocaceae.